ACGGAGGGCGUAAGCGUUAAUCGGAAUUACUGGGCGUAAAGCGCACGCAGGCGGUUUGUUAAGUCAGAUGUGAAAUUCCCGGGCUCAACCUGGGAACUGCAUCUGAUACUGGCAAGCUUGAGUCUCGUAGAGGGGGGUAGAAUUCCAGGUGUAGCGGUGAAAUGCGUAGAGAUCUGGAGGAGUACCGGUGGCGAAGGCAGCCCCCUGGGCAAAGACUGACGCUCAGGUGCGAAAGCGUGGGGAGCAAACAU
RNAcentral lists this ribosomal RNA (251 nucleotides) under uncultured prokaryote. RNAcentral describes it as "partial 16S rRNA". It matches the Rfam family "Bacterial small subunit ribosomal RNA", at positions 525 to 775 of the family's 1533-position model. The record is from RNAcentral.